Molecule: non-coding RNA, 80 nt
Organism: Malassezia vespertilionis
Lineage: Eukaryota; Fungi; Basidiomycota; Malasseziomycetes; Malasseziales; Malasseziaceae
Source: the annotation of a RefSeq genome assembly
GGGCCGUUAGUUCAGUUGGUAGAAUGUGUCUCUCCUAUAUGGGUAAGACGAGGUCCUGGGUUCGAGCCCCAGGCGGCCCU